Molecule: unclassified non-coding RNA, 235 nt
Filed under: Hevea brasiliensis (rubber tree)
Lineage: Eukaryota; Viridiplantae; Streptophyta; Magnoliopsida; Malpighiales; Euphorbiaceae
Source: RNAcentral
UUCUAUUUGUUAGAGCUGUAUCUAUGGCAUUUUUAACCAAGUAGUCAUCAUACUCUUGCCCCAUAAAUCAUAAUUCCACUGAUGCAGUCCAAGACAUAUAAUUUUGACUUCCUACUAAUUUAACAGUAGUAACAGCGGGUGAAUCACCAAUGGAAGAAAAUAUGGGUUUAAGAAUCUCAAAACCUGUGUUGGAUAUGGGUGUGAAAAUCUUAGAACCUGUGUUGGAGGCUGUAUU